AAACAGAACGCUGCCGGCGCGGAGUGGAGGCUCAGCCAGGUUCCGGACUCUGGUCCCUGGAGGAGACCACCAAAGGAAAUGAUCCAUCACCAUCUCCUGAGAAGUAAGCGAGGAUUGCCCUUGAGAGAGAUGAAUUUUAACCACAGAGAAUAACAUUUAUAAAACAAUCUGCGUUUUCCGUAAGGCAUUUAAGACGCCCAGUACUGGACAAGAAGAAAUAGGUCUAGAGCUAUUAAGAAACUGAGCAAAGUAUGUGAAAAUAACUGUUUUCAGACAUCGGACGGCAGGCAGUUCCAGUCCUUUUACAUGAAAGAAGAGAAACAAAUGAGAUGAACCAGGAUGAAACAAAGACUUUUUCAGACAAACAAGUCCAGGAAGGCCACAUCCUGAAGCAGCACCAUCCCAGCUGACUUGCAGACUAUGGGAAAAGAAUUAAAUGCUUACUAUAAUGAUUUUGAGCCUGACAUGCAACUAUAGAAAAUUAAUAAGAAUUGCUGAUUGCAUCUCUCUCCAAGAAAAAAUGAUCCCGUAAACAUUUACCAGGAUUCAUAUUAUGUGAACAUUAAUGAUGAGCUAUACCUUAGUACUGUUGCCAGUAUCUAUGGGAACGCUAAGAUACAAUAACCAUUCAUUCAACAAAGAUUUAUGGAGCACCUUCUACCUGCCAGGAAUGAGCACUGAACAAAAUGACAAAAACUCUGCCUGAGUUUAUGUUCAGGAAGUGGAAUAAAGACAACAAACAAAAGAAAUAAGCAAAACAUUUACAUAUGGAGGAAAAUAAAGCAGGUACACCUAGGGAAAGGUCCCAAUGAUUCCAGUGCCUUCCACCUAAGAAAAUGACUUCCCCAAGUUGGACAGCUCAAGGGGGAGAGCUUCCCUAAAUGUUUCAGGGGCCUCUGCUCCGCCUACUGCAUCCCCAUGUGUAGCCUUGUUGACAAGCACAGACCAGCAUGAUGACCCCGUGAUGAGGGAGGUGUGUGCAAAUUAUGAUCCUCUCCUUAAAUAUAUCAUCCAAGAAAGUUUAUCUUGUACAUUUUAUAUGUCUAUGUUUAAAUAAACUACAUAUUAAAGAUUUCA
Bubalus bubalis (water buffalo) is the source of this 1077-nucleotide long non-coding RNA. RefSeq lists it as uncharacterized. The record is from RefSeq and is a predicted model, not a curated record. The transcript is spliced from 6 exons. Lineage: Eukaryota; Metazoa; Chordata; Mammalia; Artiodactyla; Bovidae.